RNAcentral lists this ribosomal RNA (439 nucleotides) under uncultured bacterium. RNAcentral's name for it is "bacterial SSU rRNA". It matches the Rfam family "Bacterial small subunit ribosomal RNA", at positions 954 to 1392 of the family's 1533-position model. The record is from RNAcentral.
UGGGAACGCGAAGAACCUUACCAGGUCUUGACAUCCAAAGAAUUCCUACGAAAGUAGGGAGUGCCUUCGGGAGCUUUGAGACAGGUGGUGCAUGGUUGUCGUCAGCUCGUGUCGUGAGAUGUUGGGUUAAGUCCCACAACGAGCGCAACCCUUGCUAUUAGUUGCUAACAGGUAGAGCUGAGCACUCUAAUGGGACUGCCCGUGACAAGCGGGAGGAAGGUGGGGAUGACGUCAAAUCAUCAUGCCCUUUAUGAUCUGGGCUACACACGUGCUACAAUGGAUGGUACAAAGAGAAGCAAGCCCGCGAGGUGGAGCGAAUCUCAAAAAGCCAUUCUCAGUUCGGAUUGGAGUCUGCAACUCGACUCCAUGAAGUCGGAAUCGCUAGUAAUUGCGAAUCAGCACGUCGCAGUGAAUGCGUUCCCGGGUCUUGUACACACCG